UACGGGGGGAGCAAGCGUUGUUCGGAUUUACUGGGCGUAAAGGGCGCGUAGGCGGCCACCGCAAGUCGACUGUGAAAUCUCCGGGCUUAACCCGGAAAGGUCAGCCGAUACUGCGGGGCUAGAGUGCAGAAGGGGCAACUGGAAUUCUCGGUGUAGCGGUGAAAUGCGUAGAUAUCGAGAGGAACACCUGCGGCGAAGGCGGCAUCCUGGACCGGCAUUGACGCUGAGUGAGCGAAAGCCAGGGGAGCAAACGGG
Molecule: ribosomal RNA, 255 nt
Filed under: uncultured bacterium
Lineage: Bacteria
Description: partial 16S ribosomal RNA
Rfam family: Bacterial small subunit ribosomal RNA
Source: RNAcentral